RNAcentral lists this non-coding RNA (668 nucleotides) under Oryza sativa Indica Group (long-grained rice). The record is from RNAcentral. Lineage: Eukaryota; Viridiplantae; Streptophyta; Magnoliopsida; Poales; Poaceae.
CAUGUUCUGUUGGUGUAACCAUCAUAAUUGAAAUUUUUCCUGUUAUUUAAGCAUGUAUGGCAAAAUUAAACUGAGGAUGUAAAUUUGUAUAAAGGCAAAGCUGGCCAGAGCAUAUAUAUGUGAGUAUUGCUGACAGUACUCCCACCAGCCGAACACACCCACACAAAAAAGGAACAUUUGUAGAGUAAUAACUACCCCCUCUGUUUCAUAUUGUAUUGUGUUUUAGUUUUGUUGUAAGUCAAAAUUCUUUUACUUUGACCAAGUUUGUAGUAAAAUAAUUAACAUCUAAAAUACCAAAUAAAUACACUAUUGAGACAUAUUUCAUGGUUGAUUUUUCUAUAAACUUGGUCAAAGUUAGAGAAGUUUGACUUAGGACAAAACUAAACACCUUAUGAUAUGGAACAGAGGGUAUACAAUAUAAGUUAGCAGUCAAAGUUUCAUUUUACCUUCUCGAUGUCCAAAACAUCACUUACCUGUGACCAGAGGGACUGUAUAGGAACAUUCAUCACUUACCUUAAACCUAGUACUCCUCCAUCCACGAGAGUUGUACGUAUAACUUUUUUCACAGUGACCAAGGAGAACACUAACUCCUCUGAUCCAUUUAUUCAUCUAUAUGGAUUCAUACACAGUGUCGUUUCGUUUUUCCCGCAUAUCGCGCAUACGCAACC